RNAcentral lists this ribosomal RNA (448 nucleotides) under uncultured bacterium. Its description in RNAcentral is "partial 16S ribosomal RNA". It matches the Rfam family "Bacterial small subunit ribosomal RNA", at positions 329 to 793 of the family's 1533-position model. The record is from RNAcentral.
GUCCAGACUCCUACGGGAGGCAGCAGUGGGGAAUAUUGCACAAUGGGGGAAACCCUGAUGCAGCAACGCCGCGUGAGUGAAGAAGUAUUUCGGUAUGUAAAGCUCUAUCAGCAGGGAAGAAGAUGACGGUACCUGAGUAAGAAGCCCCGGCUAACUACGUGCCAGCAGCCGCGGUAAUACGUAGGGGGCAAGCGUUAUCCGGAUUUACUGGGUGUAAAGGGAGCGUAGACGGCUGCGCAAGUCUGAAGUGAAAGCCCGGGGCUCAACCCCGGGACUGCUUUGGAAACUGUGUAGCUAGAGUGCUGGAGAGGCAAGCGGAAUUCCUAGUGUAGCGGUGAAAUGCGUAGAUAUUAGGAAGAACACCAGUGGCGAAGGCGGCUUGCUGGACAGUAACUGACGUUGAGGCUCGAAAGCGUGGGGAGCAAACAGGAUUAGAUACCCUCGUACG